AGAGGGCGUGUAAGAGGCUCUCGGGUGUGUGGCUCUUGCUCUGUGUAACCCCCUCAUACUAGAGUUCUGCUUCAUGGUGUAGAAAUUAGGGCUGAGGGAGUUCUAAAAAGGCUUUGCUGAGUGUGGCACGCAGUGGUGAGGGGAAACUGCUGUCUUGUUGUAGAGUGCUGUCCUCUAUGCAUGACAUGACAUGACAUGGCAUGACCAUCACCAUUUUGAAUACGCAAUAGGAAGCCUACCCCAGACUGGGCCUAUUUGUGUUCCAUGUAGCCAGGAGUGGUCCACGAAGCUCCACACUCCCCCCACCCCCCUUCAGGAUUUAUAAGCAGUUAAUGGUUUCUAGCUGGGAAACAUUCACAAAGCCCAGCCCUUCCAUAGGCUAAAUAAACAGUUAAUGGUGGCUGAGAGACACUUUCUCCAGUGAUGCAGUCACCCAUGAGGAACCCAUGCUCCAGUAGGCAACACCAAAUUAAAUCAUCGCUUCACCAAACUAGGCUAGGAGGUUUUUCCUUUGGCCUGUUGUUGGAACGCACUCUGAGUGAGUAGGCAUUUGUCUGUCCUCCUCAGACAAGUUCAUGCAUUUAUCACAGCCAGUGCCUCUGAGCAGUUACUACUUCUCUUAUCUCAAAGUAGACACUGGAUGGCUGACUCUUGAGGAGAUGCCCAGGGAGUAGCAUACCUUUUUGGUUGAUUGGUUAGUUAGUUAGUUAGUUGGUUUUGGUUUUGGCUAGUUUUGGACAUCUGCAAGCAGGUACCUAUCAAGAUGUCUUGGAACUGAGCAUAUCACCUCUGCCUAGGACCCUGUCAGCAAAGCCCUUGGGAGUUGAACCCAUUGGUGUGGCUGUGUAGUAUAGAAUACGGUGACAUUGCCUAAACUGCCCCUGACCUCAUGACCUCCGGGAACCUCUCUGUUCUCUGGACUGCCAGAAUAAAGUGCUACAAACUUCUCAGAGCUCUGGAGGCUGAGAACCCAGGACCAAGGUGUCAACAGGGCUGAUUUCUUCCAAGGUCUCUGCUUUUGAGUUGCCUUAGAAGAAAUGGCCGUCCUACAACCAUCUUUCUGCAACCUUUUCUCAUCUCUAGCAUCAACCUGACUUCCUAAGGAUACCAGCCUGAUGGGAUAAGAAUCCUGUGAACUUCUUCACUUCAGAAAGGCCCUCCCAAUGUGUUGUACUCUGAGAUCCUUAGGGAAGGGCUUGAAUUUAUUCAUUUAGUUCCCCUUUCUGGGCCUAACACCUCCUAAGUCACUAACAUCCUGAGUGAAAACAGUAGUUGUGCUAUAGAAAGCUGUCAUGACCUAGCACAAGAACCACUGUAAGGCUCCAGAUAUGUCCUUUCAAGAAUCCACAGUCUGGAGUGACUCUCAGCACUGAGAUCUGCAUGAUCUGAAACUCAUAGAAGCCUCAGCCUCCAUGAUGAGGGGUCAUUCUGCACCUCCUUUGAGCUUACCUAUGUUCCUUCUGUUUGCUGUGUGUUACUGGCUAUAGGAAUGUGGUUGCCACAGUCCUGCAGCUUUUCAGAGAGCAUUUGGGAUAGUAUCCCUCUCGUAAAUAAGUGCUGGAGACAAUUAUGACUUUCACUUGGGAAAGAAUAUCCUGCAACCGAUAAGUUCGUUUCCUUGUGCAUUGUGAAGUCCUAGAUCACAAAUGGCUUCUCAAAGACCCAUGAGAUGAGUCUGCAGCCAAAAGUUCUUGCUGCCACCCUUGAUGACUUGGGAUAGUGAAAGGAGAGACACAAGUCCUUCAAUGUCCUCUGACUUUCACAUACAUUCCAUGGCAUGCCCAUGCCUAUAUAUAUGCCCAGAUACAUAUCCCAUUUAAAAAUGUAAUAAAAAGUUAAGUGAAUGCUUGAAGGGACUACUGGUCCCGAAAGGUCAUAACUUGCACCCUCUGGCAGGCUACUGCCGGUGACAUGGUAUGGCUGGGCCUGAGUCUGGUUCUCUAAGUCAGCAUGCACAGUCUUUCUCCACUCUGUAGUUGCUCUUCCCCAAUUCUACAGGGACCACGUAACCAUCCAGCCUGUGGGGUGCUUUUCCCUGAAUGUUUCCACUGCUCCUGGCUUUCACUCUGCUAUUUACUCCUUUCAGAGUCCUCGGCAUCAAUUCUUCACUGUGUACUGGACAAAAUGAGUUGCAGGAAGCAGUGAUGAGGGACACAUAAUGCUCAGCUGAGUAUCGCCUCCCCCCUUCAGCCAUGGUGCUGCCACUUAGUUGCCCUGUGACCCAGAGUGCUGUAUUUCCAGCAUUUCCCCUAGAGGUUGAACAUACAUCUUGUCCCUGUGACCCUCAGGCUGUAGGCACCAGGUAUGCUCAUGUCUCUUCUGUACCCCACUCUUGUUGUGAACAUGGGAGAAAGAGGUCACAUGAUAGAUGUUUGCUGAGUUAUUGCUGUCAUGAGACAGGACUGUCAGAGCUUCCCUAGAGCAGUUCUAGAACACAUAUGUGAAGUGCAAACAAUAAAGAGCCAGCCACAUGUGCUCCAACCAGCACUGCAAGGCCUACCCAAGGCCCCAGCCCUGCAUGGCCCCUCCCCUUUCCAGCACCAAGCUUAUCAUUUAAAUGAGCAGAAUAUCAGUGUCUUCCUGAGUUGCUUCUUUCAAUCAAUGUGUUUAUGAAAACAGAUAUUUAAAGUCCUACAGAGACCACCAAUGUCUUAAGCUACUGUGGAAAAUCCCAUGUUACAAAUACCCAUCCGUUUUCCCCUGUCCACUGUCAGUGGACAUGGCAGUUUUCCCCAGAUUUUGCCUUUAAAACUGCUGCUGUUGCUACUGUACCUGUGAUAGUCAUCUGUCUAGUGUCCCAGCUGACUGCCAUCUGUGGGCAGGUGGCGGAAGAAGAGGGAGCUGGGCUGAGAAGGAGUUCCAGGAGUCUGGUGUCCCCUUGAGCCUCCUGCAGAAUACUGUCAUGAGUGUGUUUUGAAGGCAAGGCAGAAGCAGAACGGCUGGCGAGCUGACUGUCGAGCAUUCCCAGAGCACUGAACAUAACUAGACCCAGAAAAUAUAUGGGCAAGGGUGGCGAAUAUUUUCUCAGCAUUCUUAUUUUUAAAAUAAUCAACUACUCACAGUAAAAUUUAUUUUGUAUUACUCCCUAUUUGGGGUUUUAUAAUAUAUGUAGAAGUAAAAUACAUAACAAGUGUAGCACAGAAGAUAGGACUGGGGACUGGAAAUGCAUUGUGAUAUGUUUCUUAUGUUCCUGUGAGCAAGUGGGGACGUUAUUUAAGGGUAGAUGGUGAUAAAUCAUGAUGCAUAUUAACAAUACUAGACUGCCACUGAAAACCAAGACAUAGAGCUCAAAAUGAAAUGCUUAUUUUUAAAACAAAUCUAAAGGAAAACCAAGGAAAGGAAGAGUAGAUGGGAGAAAUAUUGAGCUGGAAGAUUCUAAUCCAACCACAUCAAUAAUUACAUUAAAUGUAAAUGUUCUUAAGAUUCCAGUAAAAUGGCAUAGAUGAAAAGACUUGUCUUU
RNAcentral lists this long non-coding RNA (3460 nucleotides) under Mus musculus (house mouse). Its description in RNAcentral is "long non-coding RNA chr7:137093394-137096854". Lineage: Eukaryota; Metazoa; Chordata; Mammalia; Rodentia; Muridae. The record is from RNAcentral.